This 504-nucleotide ribosomal RNA is filed under the name uncultured bacterium. Its description in RNAcentral is "partial 16S ribosomal RNA". It matches the Rfam family "Bacterial small subunit ribosomal RNA", at positions 30 to 523 of the family's 1533-position model. The record is from RNAcentral.
AUUGAACGCUAGCGGCAUGCCUAACACAUGCAAGUCGAACGGCAGCACGAGGAGCUUGCUCCUUGGUGGCGAGUGGCGGACGGGUGAGUAACGCGUAGGAAUCUGCCUCGUAGUGGGAGACAACCCGGGGAAACUCGGGCUAAUACCGCAUAAUCCCUUCGGAGCCAAGGUGGGGACCCUCGGGCCUAACACUAUGAGAUGAGCCUGCGUUGGAUUAGCUAGUUGGUGGGGUAAAGGCCUACCAAGGCGACGAUCCAUAGCUGGUCUGAGAGGACGACCAGCCACACUGGGACUGAGACACGGCCCAGACUCCUACGGGAGGCAGCAGUGGGGAAUAUUGGACAAUGGGCGAAAGCCUGAUCCAGCAAUGCCGCGUGUGUGAAGAAGGCCUUCGGGUUGUAAAGCACUUUUAGUGGGGAAGAAAAAGACAAGGAUAAUACCCUUGGAAAUUGACGUUACCCACAGAAAAAGCACUGGCUAACUCUGUGCCAGCCGCCGCCGUAA